UCGAACGGUGACGCUAGAGCUUGCUCUGGUUGAUCAGUGGCGAACGGGUGAGUAACACGUGAGUAACCUGCCCUUGACUCUGGGAUAACUCCGGGAAACCGGGGCUAAUACCGGAUACGAGACGCGACCGCAUGGUCGGCGUCUGGAAAGUUUUUCGGUCAAGGAUGGACUCGCGGCCUAUCAGCUUGUUGGUGAGGUAAUGGCUCACCAAGGCGUCGACGGGUAGCCGGCCUGAGAGGGCGACCGGCCACACUGGGACUGAGACACGGCCCAGACUCCUACGGGAGGCAGCAGUGGGGAAUAUUGCACAAUGGGCGAAAGCCUGAUGCAGCGACGCCGCGUGAGGGAUGAAGGCCUUCGGGUUGUAAACCUCUUUCAGUAGGGAAGAAGCGAAAGUGACGGUACCUGCAGAAGAAGCGCCGGCUAACUACGUGCCAGCAGCCGCGGUAAUACGUAGGGCGCAAGCGUUGUCCGGAAUUAUUGGGCGUAAAGAGCUCGUAGGCGGUUUGUCGCGUCUGGUGUGAAAACUCAAGGCUCAACCUUGAGCUUGCAUCGGGUACGGGCAGACUAGAGUGUGGUAGGGGUGACUGGAAUUCCUGGUGUAGCGGUGGAAUGCGCAGAUAUCAGGAGGAACACCGAUGGCGAAGGCAGGUCACUGGGCCACUACUGACGCUGAGGAGCGAAAGCAUGGGGAGCGAACAGGAUUAGAUACC
This 713-nucleotide ribosomal RNA is filed under the name Sanguibacter keddieii. RNAcentral describes it as "bacterial SSU rRNA". It matches the Rfam family "Bacterial small subunit ribosomal RNA", at positions 62 to 786 of the family's 1533-position model. Lineage: Bacteria; Bacillati; Actinomycetota; Actinomycetes; Micrococcales; Sanguibacteraceae. The record is from RNAcentral.